This 443-nucleotide ribosomal RNA is filed under the name uncultured Oscillospiraceae bacterium. Its description in RNAcentral is "bacterial SSU rRNA". It matches the Rfam family "Bacterial small subunit ribosomal RNA", at positions 338 to 795 of the family's 1533-position model. The record is from RNAcentral. Lineage: Bacteria; Bacillati; Bacillota; Clostridia; Eubacteriales; Oscillospiraceae.
CCUACGGGGGGCAGCAGUGGGGAAUAUUGGGCAAUGGGCGAAAGCCUGACCCAGCAACGCCGCGUGAAGGAAGAAGGCCUUCGGGUUGUAAACUUCUUUUAUCAGGGACGAAGGAAGUGACGGUACCUGAUGAAUAAGCCACGGCUAACUACGUGCCAGCAGCCGCGGUAAUACGUAGGUGGCGAGCGUUGUCCGGAUUUACUGGGUGUAAAGGGCGCGUAGGCGGGGAUGCAAGUCAGGUGUGAAAUCUAUGGGCUCAACCCAUAAACUGCACUUGAAACUGUAUCUCUUGAGUGAUGGAGAGGCAGGCGGAAUUCCUAGUGUAGCGGUGAAAUGCGUAGAUAUUAGGAGGAACACCAGUGGCGAAGGCGGCCUGCUGGACAUUAACUGACGCUGAGGCGCGAAAGCGUGGGGAGCAAACAGGAUUAGAUACCCCUGUAGUC